This 924-nucleotide long non-coding RNA is filed under the name Ananas comosus (pineapple). Its description in RNAcentral is "long non-coding RNA (ACOM_LNC032392)". The record is from RNAcentral. Lineage: Eukaryota; Viridiplantae; Streptophyta; Magnoliopsida; Poales; Bromeliaceae.
UAUAUAUAUAGAGUAGGGCUGCUGUGCUCUCAGGAGCACGGAGGCCUCCGUGCUCCUGAGCCAUUUUCGAUGAUGGAGUUUUCGAAUUGACGAUCGGCUCCGUUAAACUUGAUCUAGCAUAUUUAAAGUUUCUAGAAAAUAAUUUUUGCGAUUUUUCGAUAUCAUUUACCUAGUGAUCGAAAGGAUUCAAAAUCCAUAAUUUUUAAUGGUUGAUAUCUGCCGUUUUCAAGUUUAACGGUGUAGAAGUAUUCAAAUCAGAUGAAAUUUUGAUAGAAAAUUCUUUAUACUAUCUACAACAAGAUCUAUAUUUCUGAUCGAAAAUUUUAGUGCUAUAUCACCACUUUUUAUAGGAUUUUUAUUUUCAGCCGUUAAAAAUUAUUGAUUUUGAAUCCUUUCGAUUGCUAGGUAAAUGAUAUCGAAAAAUCGCAAAAAUUAUUUUCUAGAAACUUUAAAUACGCUAGAUCAAGUUUAACGGAGCCGAUCGUCGAUUCGAAAACUCCAUCAUCGAAAAUGGCUCAGGAGCACGGAGGCCUCCGUGCUCCUGAGAGCACAGCAGCCCUGCUCUCUCUAUAUAUAUAUAUAUAUAUAUAUAUAUAUAUAUAUGAACUAGACUGGAAUACUAUCAAUAGCACUAAGUUAUUAGUGCUAUUAGUUUUUUAGUCCUUGGAUUGAGAAAUGUGCGGUUAUGAUGAUGUCGGCGCCCUAGGGUUGAAUGGAUGAUUGGUUGAAUAGUAUAAUCUAACGGAUAAAAAUAAUCAAAGGGGUUAAUCUAAUGGCAGAAAAUUUGAUAGCACCAAAUGCUUGGUGCUAUCGAUAGCAUAGCAGCAGGACUUAUAUAUAUACUAGGGCUACUAUACUCUUAUAAGUAUAAACCCCUUUAUAAUUUAAUUUAACUGGUGAAAAUGAUCUAUAGUUCUACACUCA